RNAcentral lists this ribosomal RNA (492 nucleotides) under uncultured bacterium. RNAcentral describes it as "partial 16S ribosomal RNA". It matches the Rfam family "Bacterial small subunit ribosomal RNA", at positions 29 to 507 of the family's 1533-position model. The record is from RNAcentral.
AGUGAACGCUGGCGGUAGGCCUAACACAUGCAAGUCGAACGGCAGCACAGUAAGAGCUUGCUCUUACGGGUGGCGAGUGGCGGACGGGUGAGGAAUACAUCGGAAUCUACUCUUUCGUGGGGGAUAACGUAGGGAAACUUACGCUAAUACCGCAUACGACCUACGGGUGAAAGCAGGGGAUCUUCGGACCUUGCGCGAUUGAAUGAGCCGAUGUCGGAUUAGCUAGUUGGCGGGGUAAAGGCCCACCAAGGCGACGAUCCGUAGCUGGUCUGAGAGGAUGGUCAGCCACACUGGAACUGAGACACGGUCCAUACUCCUACGGGAGGCAGCAGUGGGGAAUAUUGGACAAUGGGCGCAAGCCUGAUCCAGCCAUACCGCGUGGGUGAAGAAGGCCUUCGGGUUGUAAAGCCCUUUUGUUGGGAGAGAAAAGCAGCAGGUUAAUACCCCGCUGUUCUGACGGUACCCAGAGAAUAAGCACCGGCUAACUUCGUG